Molecule: long non-coding RNA, 1391 nt
Organism: Gadus chalcogrammus (walleye pollock)
Lineage: Eukaryota; Metazoa; Chordata; Actinopteri; Gadiformes; Gadidae
Exons: 2
Source: RefSeq, a predicted model, not a curated record
GCCCAGCCCUGUCUCUUUUAGUCUGCAGUACGGAGCCAUGGUGAGAGGGAGAGAUUGUUUGUUGACUUGCGGUGCUGAUCCCAGAGCUGGACCUUGUGAUCUCAUUGGUUGGUUCGGUCAGCAGUAGCUUCCUGGUUCUAAUUUUCCCACCGUUACUGGAGAUGCUGACCUUCCAUACGGAUGGGCUCUCACCAUUGGUGAUCACAAAGAACGUGAUCAGCGGUGUGGGCUGAUCGGGUUUGCCACGGGAACCUACAGCGCGAUCAUGGAGCUUAUCAUACGCAACAACCCCCCGCACAGCCAGAACCUCUCCCCCUCCUACAUGCUGCAGUAAACCAUGAAAUGGAAAGGGGUUUGAAAGGGUGGGGACCUUACAAACUCAAGCCAGCCAAUUGUAUUAGCCGGGUCACAACUCAUUUUAUCUGUUGGUUAUUGUGUACAAAACUGCUGGAUUUUUUUUAAUUGUGGUGGUUUUAUUGCAUAGUUUUUUUAUUGUUUUUUAAUAAUUUUAACGCUGUAAAACGACAUGAACUGCUCCCAGGUCCAAUAGUGCAAUGCUUAAAUGGAAAUGUUUUAUGCCAAAUACAUUAGCUAAAUAUAGAUUAUAAAUACAUUUUGAUGCAUUUAUUCUUUAGCAGUAUGAUUUGUUUUUAGUUGCCUGACUUUUAAACUUUGUACUGUAACACAUGAGAGUCAAAAUGUGAUGUACCUCACAGUUCUAUCAUAACCCCAUAUUGGUAAUGCUAUGAACAUGACUAAUAUGGUAGUUUGAACUUUAUAACUAUUAUCAAACUUUCUAUGUUUUGUUAAUACUGCGGACGAUUUUUGACCUUUCCCCCUCGUAUUUUCUUGUUGCACUUUGAAUCAAGUCCAUUUCCUUUUAUGGAGAGUCCUCUAUUCGUAUGCAGGACAUCGUGUGUAAAAAACAGAAUCAAACAUGCUAAAUUUAAUUUAGUAUGAUGUUUUAAAUGAACAGUAAAGAAAAAAUGAAUUUGCCUUUGAACGUUAAAUUGUUAUUUUUUUUAGCCCAAUUUGACGGGUUCAUGUUUCCGAUUUUUUUUUUAAGAUAACAAAUUUGUAAUCAAUUGUUGGUGUGGGCAUCAUUUGAACAGCAGUUAAUUUGUUUUUUUUAUCUCGGAUGUUGUGCUGCUGGACAGAAAUGGGGAAGCUUAUUAGCCUUCAUACAGAAAGUGCCUCCAGUCAAACAUACACCUAGGUAGUAACUGCCAGCGCCACUUUUUAAAGUUAGCCAACAUUUACUAAGGUUAGAAGUUGGUUAUCAUUUUUUAUGGUAGGCCUUUACAUUCUGCAUUCUCUGACAGUUUUUAAGCCACACAAUACCAUUUAAAUCCAGGCUAAUUGAUGAUUCAGUACGGUAAUAGAAGCUGGAA